Molecule: microRNA, 22 nt
Filed under: Mus musculus (house mouse)
Lineage: Eukaryota; Metazoa; Chordata; Mammalia; Rodentia; Muridae
Description: mmu-miR-7012-3p
Source: miRBase by way of RNAcentral
UGACCUGUGGCUCCUCUCCCAG